RNAcentral lists this ribosomal RNA (1241 nucleotides) under metagenome. RNAcentral's name for it is "bacterial LSU rRNA". It matches the Rfam family "Bacterial large subunit ribosomal RNA", at positions 1564 to 2816 of the family's 2925-position model. The record is from RNAcentral.
UGAAUACGAGACGCUAAGGCGUCGAAGUAGUGUAUGUCAUACUUCCAAGAAAAGCUUGCACUGUCAUAGAUAAAAAACGCCUGUACCAUAACCGACACAGGUGGGUAGGUAGAGUAUACUAAGGGGCGCGAGAUAACUCUCUCUAAGGAACUCGGCAAAAUAACUCGUAACUUCGGGAGAAGGAGUGCCUUAUUCGUAAGGUUGCAAUAAUAAGAUCCAAGCAACUGUUUAUCAAAAACACAGGUCUCCGCUAAGUCGUAAGACGAUGUAUGGGGGCUGACGCCUGCCCAGUGCCAGAAGGUUAAAGAAGUUGGUUAGCAAUUGCGAAGCUGAUAACUGAAGCCCUGGUGAACGGCGGCCGUAACUAUAACGGUCCUAAGGUAGCGAAAUUCCUUGUCGGGUAAGUUCCGACCCGCACGAAAGGCGUAAUGAUUUGGAUACUGUCUCGGAGAGGGGCUCGGUGAAAUAGACUUGUCUGUGAAGAUGCGGACUACCUGCACCAGGACAGAAAGACCCUAUGAAGCUUUACUGUAACUUGAAAUUGAAAUUGGACUUUAUUCGCGCAGUAUAGGUGGGAGGCGUUGAUUAUAAUCUUGUGGGAUUAUUGGAGCCAUCAGUGAGAUACCACUCUUGUAAUGUUAGAUUUCUAACUUUGAAUCAUUAUCUGGUCAAAGAACAGUUUCAGGCGGGCAGUUUGACUGGGGCGGUCGCCUCCUAAACGGUAACGGAGGCGUACAAAGGUUUCCUCUGAACGGUUAGAAAUCGUAUCUAGAGUGUAAAGGCAUAAGGAAGCUUGACUGUGAGACCUACAAGUCGAGCAGGGACGAAAGUCGGUCUUAGUGAUCUGACGGUACUGAGUGGAAAGGCCGUCACUCAACGGAUAAAAGUUACUCUAGGAUAACAGGCUGAUCUCCCCCAAGAGUUCACAUCGACGGGGAGGUUUGGCACCUCGAUGUCGGCUCAUCGCAUCCUGGGGCGGUAGUACGUCCCAAGGGUUGGGCUGUCCGCCCAUGAAAGCGGUACGCGAGCUGGGCUCAGAACGUCGUGAGACAGUUCGGUCCAUAUCCGGUGUAGGCGUUAGAAUAUUGAGAGGAGCCUUCUUUAGUACGAGAGGACCGAGAAGGACAUACCUCUGGUGUACCAGUUAUCGUGCCAACGGUAAACGCUGGGUAGCUAUGUAUGGAGUGGAUAACCGCUGAAAGCAUCUAAGUGGGAAGCCCACCUCAUGAUAAGUAUUCUCA